This is a long non-coding RNA of Aphis gossypii (cotton aphid), 420 nucleotides long. RefSeq lists it as uncharacterized. NCBI's taxonomy places the organism in Eukaryota, Metazoa, Arthropoda, Insecta, Hemiptera, Aphididae. The record is from RefSeq and is a predicted model, not a curated record. The transcript has 3 exons.
UGGAUUACUUUUAAAACAUUCGAUUUCACUGGGGUCCGGCGAGAUACCGGUUUCGUUAAUUACAUGACCUAGUCAUAAUCGGACGAAAACACGUUCCGAUGUCUCCUGAUGGUCGCGUGGGCUAGAUUCACGUAUAACAUUUUCUUCGAGAUAUGCUGUACACUACUCUUCUAAACCGUUUCCUAACAGCUCAAGUUUAAUAAAAAACACAAAGACCGGGUUACUACAGGGAUAACGUAUCUUAGUACGAACACAUUCAGUUUUUUUUUUCACAAAAGCCACACCACUAAGUUGAGAUUGAUGUCGAACAAUCCUGAAGUGUCGAAAUUCGUGAGUUUAUUUCCACAGUAAAAGAAAGCAAGUAAAAACUCCACAUCUGUAUAAGUACUUGCGUAUAAAACCUAGUGCCCUGGUGUAUUG